AACUUUGCGCAGUGGCGGUACCGUAGCCAGUGAGGUCUAACUGAGGCGCGGUUAUUGCUAGUUGAAAACUACUCCCAAUUGCCCGCACAGACGACGUGAAACAUCGUCGGCUGGUGCAAUUUUUGGUGGGUCGCACAGCGAC
Molecule: non-coding RNA, 142 nt
Organism: Hydatigera taeniaeformis
Lineage: Eukaryota; Metazoa; Platyhelminthes; Cestoda; Cyclophyllidea; Taeniidae
Source: Rfam